RNAcentral lists this transfer RNA (76 nucleotides) under bacterium. Its description in RNAcentral is "tRNA-Thr". It matches the Rfam family "tRNA". From Rfam's summary of the family: Transfer RNA (tRNA) molecules are approximately 80 nucleotides in length. Their secondary structure includes four short double-helical elements and three loops (D, anti-codon, and T loops). The record is from RNAcentral.
GCCGACGUAGCUCAGCUAGUAGAGCAUUUCCAUGGUAAGGAAAAGGUCCGCGGUGCAAAUCCGCGCGUCGGCUCCA